Molecule: non-coding RNA, 283 nt
Organism: Biomphalaria pfeifferi
Lineage: Eukaryota; Metazoa; Mollusca; Gastropoda; Planorbidae
Source: the annotation of a GenBank genome assembly
CCCCCCCCCCCCCCUCCCUCUCUCUCUACUUUCUAGUGUAUUUAUUCUUAAGUUUGACGAGCGUGUUAAGGAAAUGACUAGAGAGUUCAAAUGAUUAAAGACAAUUACUGACCACAGUUGGGACUUGAACACAGACUUAACACAAUGGCAUGAUCAGUUGGGACUUGAACACAAAGUUAGUUGUUAGUUUAAUUUGACUGUAAAUCAGACAUUUGGCUCUCUCCCACAGAAAACUUGUCACAUACACACUUUUUAGCUUGGUCCCACACAGUCACAGCCCACA